CAUUUUUCGCUCAAAAUCUCCACAUUCAGCUUUGGACAGAUUUCCUGCAAAACAAAGAGAAACUUAUAUCAAAAUUAGCACAAAAAGGGCUUUCGGACACACUAAACUUAAGGAAAAGUAUUAAUUAUACCGUGAAACCACGGUAUAUCAACACCCUCAACUUAAAUUCGGUGUUUGUCCUCAAGCGACGCACUAUGACUCACUACACAAUCUUUGUAC
Molecule: long non-coding RNA, 219 nt
Filed under: Solanum lycopersicum (tomato)
Lineage: Eukaryota; Viridiplantae; Streptophyta; Magnoliopsida; Solanales; Solanaceae
Description: partial TCONS_00111842
Source: RNAcentral